RNAcentral lists this ribosomal RNA (1125 nucleotides) under human gut metagenome. RNAcentral describes it as "bacterial LSU rRNA". It matches the Rfam family "Bacterial large subunit ribosomal RNA", at positions 829 to 1980 of the family's 2925-position model. The record is from RNAcentral.
CCAAUCGAACUCGGAGAUAGCUGGUUCUCCCCGAAAUAGCUUUAGGGCUAGCCUCGAUUUAGAUUACCGGGGGUAGAGCACUGAAUGGGCUAGGGGGCCACAAAGCUUACCGAACCCUAUCAAACUUCGAAUACCGGAUAAUUGAUGAUCGGGAGUCAGACAGUGUGAGAUAAGUUUCAUUGUCGAAAGGGAAACAGCCCAGAUCUACGACUAAGGUCCCAAAGUUCAAGUUAAGUGGAAAAGGAUGUGCAAUUGCGUAGACAACCAGGAUGUUGGCUUAGUAGCAGCCAUUCAUUCAAAGAGUGCGUAAUAGCUCACUGGUCGAGUGAUUGUGCGCCGAAAAUGUAACGGGGCUAAACUUGACACCGAAGUCUAGGCAGAAGGAAACUUCUGGGUAGGGGAGCAACGUGUACGGGCAGAAGCAGAAGCGGAAGCGACUGUGGACUGUACAGGAGAGAGAAUGCCGGCAUGAGUAGCGAGAGCAAAGUGAGAAUCUUUGCCGUCGAAAGCCUAAGGUUUCCUGAGGAAGGCUCGUCCUCUCAGGGUAAGUCGGGACCUAAGCCGAGGACAAUAGUCGUAGGCGAUGGACAAUCGGUUAAUAUUCCGAUACCGCCGAGCAACCGGAUGCAGUGACACAGAAGGAUAGGCAGAGCGUGGCGAUGGUAGACCACGUCCAAGCAGUGAGGCUGUUGUGUAGUGAAGUACGCACAACGUAAGGCUGGGCUGUGAUGGGGAACGAUUACGAUCGGUAAGCUGCUGAAUUCACGCUGGCGAGAAAAGCUGCUACGAAGCGAAGGCGCCCGUACCGCAAACCGACACAGGUAGGCGAGGAGAGAAUCCUAAGACGAGCGGGAGAACCCUUGUUAAGGAACUCGGCAAAAUGACUCCGUAACUUAGGGAGAAGGAGUGCCCAGGAAUGGGCCGCAGAGAAUAGACCCAAGCGACUGUUUACCAAAAACACAGGUCUGUGCGAAGUAGAGAUACGACGUAUACGGGCUGACACCUGCCCAGUGCCGGAAGGUUAAGGGGAAAUGUUAGGGCAACCGAAGCAUGGAACUUAAGCCCCGGUGAACGGCGGCCGUAACUAUAACGGUCCUAAGGUAGCGAAAUUCCUUGUCGGGUAAG